AUCUUGCUGACGACUCCCAAAUAAAACGAAACACAUGUUCUAGAU
Non-coding RNA from Schistosoma haematobium, 45 nucleotides. Lineage: Eukaryota; Metazoa; Platyhelminthes; Trematoda; Strigeidida; Schistosomatidae. The record is from Rfam.